Molecule: transfer RNA, 66 nt
Filed under: Ovatella vulcani
Lineage: Eukaryota; Metazoa; Mollusca; Gastropoda; Ellobiida; Ellobiidae
Description: tRNA-Trp
Source: RNAcentral
UUGUAGGAUAGACAAAGCAAUCCCUUGGCCUUCAAAGCCGGCAAGGCAUAACGCCAACCCUGUAAU